Long non-coding RNA from Orbicella faveolata, 2597 nucleotides. NCBI's taxonomy places the organism in Eukaryota, Metazoa, Cnidaria, Anthozoa, Scleractinia, Merulinidae. The record is from RefSeq and is a predicted model, not a curated record.
GAAGGAAAAAAGCACAGAUAGCGAAGGCAUUGACCAAAUAAAAUGAUCGCUGUAUUGACGCCAUGUUUGCUUUGUGUAAUCCUUGUGCGCGCGCUGAAUCGCAUUAGCAAGAGCGCACGCGGAAACUGAAUUUGGCCACCUUAACUUCAUUUAUGUAUAACUACAGGUCUUACCUCUUUUGAACUUGCUCUCAUUUCUUUAUUCCGUGAUAAUGGCGUCAUGAGGUCGCUGAAACGUUGGGACAUUAUAUCGUUUUUAUUUAUGUGGCUCAAGAGCAUUAUUUUUAAAACCAUUAUUAGAAUUUUAGAUAUUAAACGGACAUGAUAAUCGAGGAGAAUUCAAACGCUGCAUUUCGCUAUAACUAAGGUACGGUGGAUAAAUGUAGACUUGGCGAAAUGAUAUGAAGAGUUUCGCCGAUGAAAAGAAGAAAAGACAUCACACAUAGCCAGGAGUUCCGUAGUCACUCAUAUUGUCCUGGAAAGGGAAGAAAAAAUCAAAUCAUAACGACACAUGGUAAUUUUGUUGGGCCACCCAUCUAACCCCACAUGACAGGGCUUAACUUAAGAGAUCUAAAUGGGAUGUGGUGCUUUUUUGUGGUAUAUUGACUUCAUCAGUGUUUUCCACGUUGAGCACAGCAUUGUAUUUCUAAGAUCUAGAGCUCGAAAGGUAACAAAGAAAGAAGAAAACAAAUUUCGAAACCCACAUGUGAAAUUGACCCCAGAACAUAAGACUAAAUGCAUACACUAACUGAACAUCACUUUUAGAUCUCUUUGAUCUGUGAACAAGCUACAUUAUGAAAACAAAUUUUCAUAUUCUGCAACGUAAAAUUCCCAGGAACUGUCAUUCAAAACAUGCAACAUUAUCCAGCCAUGACAACAAGAGACUGGCAAAAUUGCAGCAAAAUAAUUAUUUAACCCAAAAUUUGUUCGAAGCAAAAUGUCAUUCAUUUUCAUCCAUAUGCUCCAAGAAGCUCUGCAUUUUUUCAAAAUUUGUGUGCAGUUAUGUAUACACUACUGUAAAUACUACAAAAUUUAUAUUUCAUUAACCAAAGAUUGUUUAUUUUGUAUUUCCAGGGCAUAAAAAGAGCAGAAAUGUCCAAUGCAAUUGAUGUAUAUGUGAAUGGAACAGUUGGACAGGACACUGACAAAGACUCGUGGAAAGAGAUGUUUGAAACCCCGCCAGAACUGCUCAACGAGGUAUGCUUAAUUACUAAAUUCUGCCGACUUAUUAUUACUUCACUUACCCCCUCGUUUAUUCCAUGCUUACCAUCUCUCAUUAAUAGUACACUCAAAUCAAUUCUACAGCACCUACCUCUCAACAACGGCCAAAUUUUUUGGUCCCGGCGGACAGUCCAUACAUUCACUCUAAUUGCAUUCGAAAGAACGUAGUUCUAAUCAGGUAAUGGAGGAAAAUUGAGUUUUCCUGUGGACACCAAUUUGGCCUCCCCCAAAAAAAUUCUUCAGGGGCGAAUGAGGUCAUCUCCAUUUUCGUCCAUGUGCUUUCUUUCGAGUGUUGUGCAAUAUUGCGGACUUUCGAGCGUUGAGACAGCUUACUGUGGACUGUAGCGGAUAAGUUGUUUGAAGUCAGUGUUAAUGGCAUUUAAAAACCUUGCAGACAUGUCUUCACGCGUUGUGCACCCUCUUCUCUUCGACCAAAUGAAAACCAACGCUGCUUUUGAAUUGUGUACUUUUCACUUCACUGGCCUAGAUUUCUGUGCGCAAAAUAUGUAACAUAAACCUAACGAAAGUGUUACCAUGGGAAAAGAGUUCUCGCACAGGAUUACUUUGGUACACCAACAUGUCCUCCGUUUCAUUGUUUCGGAAGUGAAAAUGCUCAAUAGCAAUAGUUCGGUAACUGCAUAAUUGCCUAAGUUUUGGUAAAAAAAAAGCACGUCGUCUCGCAUACCGUCGGAACUGGCAUCGUUUGUGUCAAUUUACACGGUCCAGAAUCAUAGGUUUCCGGUCAGUAUAAAACAUUGGACCGCAGACUACGGACUGGGUAUAAGACACGAACUGAGGUAUAAAAGGUGGACUAAGCAUUACGGACUGGAUAUAAGACAUAGACUCGUGUAUAAAACGCAGAAUGUGGACUAAAUGCUGCCUACCGACUACAGUCCUUGUUUUAUACUGACCGGUCGAAACUAAUAUUAUGUAAUUCACGUACAAAUGAGAACAAACCCUCUCGUGUGUACGUGCUUUGCGGUCAAUUCAUUUGCUCUCGCCCCUCCUAGAGGGAAGCCAAUUUCACGUCUGCUUCAGGAUUGUUAUAAAAGCGCUAUGUCUCAGUUGGAUAAGUAGACUCUUAAAUAACACUCAUGACACCUGGACGGCAAUCCCUAAUUACUACUUCGAUGAACAUGGCGGACUCCUUUUUCUUCUAAACUGUAAUUACAGUGUCGUGAAAUUAGAUAGAAAAAUCCCUCUCUUUUAUCGAGAACUCCUUGAUCACUUUCAAGAACUGCGUAGCAAUUACGAAGAUCCCUUGAAACGCGAAUUCAUUCUGUGGAACAACAGAGAUAUAACUAUAGAAAACAAAUCGGUCUUUUGGAAGGCGUGGCGGGAUGGCAAUGUUCUUUUUGUGCAAGAUUUGCUGAACAA